RNAcentral lists this ribosomal RNA (524 nucleotides) under uncultured bacterium. Its description in RNAcentral is "bacterial SSU rRNA". It matches the Rfam family "Bacterial small subunit ribosomal RNA", at positions 355 to 896 of the family's 1533-position model. The record is from RNAcentral.
CUAGGAAUCUUGGGAAUGGGCGAAAGCCUGACCCAGCAACGCCGCGUGGGCGAUGAAGGCCUUCGGGUUGUAAAGCCCUUUUGCAGGGGAAGAUGAUGACGGUACCUUGCGAAUAAGCCACGGCUAACUACGUGCCAGCAGCCGCGGUAAUACGUAGGUGGCAAGCGUUGUCCGGAUUUACUGGGCGUAAAGGGCGUGCAGGCGGUCUGUUAAGUCUAGGGUGAAAGCUCCCGGCUCAACUGGGAGAGGUCCUUGGAUACUGGCGGACUUGAGGGAGGCAGAGGAAAGUGGAAUUCCCGGUGUAGUGGUGAUAUGCGUAGAUAUCGGGAGGAACACCAGUGGCGAAGGCGGCUUUCUGGGCCUUACCUGACGCUGAGACGCGAAAGCGUGGGGAGCGAACCGGAUUAGAUACCCGGGUAGUCCACGCCGUAAACUAUGGACACUAGGUGUGGGGGGUAUCGACCCCCUCCGUGCCGAAGCUAACGCAAUAAGUGUCCCGCCUGGGGAGUACGGCCGCAAGGCUA